Molecule: ribosomal RNA, 565 nt
Filed under: uncultured archaeon
Lineage: Archaea
Description: bacterial SSU rRNA
Rfam family: Archaeal small subunit ribosomal RNA
Source: RNAcentral
GCGAAUUCGCCCUUCGGGGUGCAGCAGGCGCGAAAACUUUGCAAUACACGAAAGUGUGACAGGGUCAUCCCGAGUGCCGACCGCUGAGGUUGGCUUUUACCCAGUCUAGAAAGCUGGGGGAAUAAGGAGAGGGCAAGUUUGGUGUCAGCCGCCGCGGUAAUACCAGCUCUCCGAGUGGUGUGGACGUUUAUUGGGCCUAAAGCAUCCGUAGCUGGCUGAACAAGUCCCCUGUUAAACCCACCGAUUUAAUCGUUGGUCUGCGGGGGAUACUGCUCGGCUAGGGGACGAGAGAGGCAGGCGGUAUUCUCGGGGUAGGGGUGAAAUCCUAUAAUCCCGGGAAGACCACCAGUGGCGAAGGCUGCCUGCUAGAGCGCGCCCGACGGUGAGGGAUGAAAGCUGGGGGAGCGAACCGGAUUAGAUACCCGGGUAGUCCCAGCUGUAAACGAUGCAGACUAGGUGUUUGGACGGCCACGUGCCGUUCUAGUGCCGCAGGGAAGCUGUUAAGUCUGCCGCCUGGGGAGUACGAUCGCAAGAUUGAAACUUAAAGGAAUUGGCGGGGGAGCAC